CAGAUGAACGCUGGCGGCGUGCCUAAUACAUGCAAGUCGAGCGAACAGAUAAGGAGCUUGCUCCUUUGACGUUAGCGGCGGACGGGUGAGUAACACGUGGGUAACCUACCUAUAAGACUGGGACAACUUCGGGAAACCGGAGCUAAUACCGGAUAAUAUGUUGAACCGCAUGGUUCAAUAGUGAAAGAUGGUUUUGCUAUCACUUAUAGAUGGACCCGCGCCGUAUUAGCUAGUUGGUGAGGUAACGGCUCACCAAGGCAACGAUACGUAGCCGACCUGAGAGGGUGAUCGGCCACACUGGAACUGAGACACGGUCCAGACUCCUACGGGAGGCAGCAGUAGGGAAUCUUCCGCAAUGGGCGAAAGCCUGACGGAGCAACGCCGCGUGAGUGAUGAAGGUCUUAGGAUCGUAAAACUCUGUUAUUAGGGAAGAACAAACGUGUAAGUAACUGUGCACGUCUUGACGGUACCUAAUCAGAAAGCCACGGCUAACUACGUGCCAGCAGCCGCGGUAAUACGUAGGUGGCAAGCGUUAUCCGGAACUUAUUGGGCGUAAAGCGCGCGUAGGCGGUUCUCAAGUCUGAUGUGAAAGCCCACGGUCAACCGUGGAGGGUCAUUGGAAACUGGACAACUUGAGUGCCAAAGAGGAAAGUGGCAAUUCCCAUGUGUCAGCGGUGAAAUGCGCCACGAGAUAUCGGCGGAACACCAUGGCGAAGGCGACUUCUGGGCCUGAACUGACGGCUGAUGUGCGAAACGCGUGGGGAUCACACAGGAUUAAUACCCGGAAGUCCACGCCGAACAC
Molecule: ribosomal RNA, 802 nt
Filed under: uncultured Staphylococcus sp.
Lineage: Bacteria; Bacillati; Bacillota; Bacilli; Caryophanales; Staphylococcaceae
Description: bacterial SSU rRNA
Rfam family: Bacterial small subunit ribosomal RNA
Source: RNAcentral